This is a long non-coding RNA of Acanthopagrus latus (yellowfin seabream), 486 nucleotides long. RefSeq lists it as uncharacterized. Lineage: Eukaryota; Metazoa; Chordata; Actinopteri; Spariformes; Sparidae. The record is from RefSeq and is a predicted model, not a curated record. The transcript has 3 exons.
ACCUCCGUUCACUGCAAUGGUUCAGUUUUUUUCACAGCAAUGGCAGAUCAUGGAGCCCCUCAAAAGUUCCCGGAAGUAAGCCCAAGCUAACCGCCGCUCAGUGUAAUUCCUACGGAGCACAUAGCCGGAGCAAGACUUGUUUAAGGAGCACUUUGCUGUGAGGCACCAGUGAUGCUGCAGGCCAGGAGUGUACUGAGUGGACCACAGUGAGACUGAAAACAUAGCAAGCAUGAUGGAAGCCUGCUGGAGGGUGCCAGAGCCUCCUGCUCCAACACACCCUCUGCAUUUGGAAGCUCCGUGGGGGAGGAACCAGUCUUUUUCCUAAACAGUUCCUAAUGACAUCAGAGGCUUCUUGAGAGGAGUGGCAACUUAACCUCUCUCGGUUUUUGCAUUGUUUUAUCUAUUCUGUGUUCUCUGUUUUUAAUUUUAAAAAAUUAAAGUUCCAAGUGGUGUGGUUUUUGAAAUUGUGCAAAAGUACAAAUGCAU